Molecule: long non-coding RNA, 1651 nt
Organism: Corylus avellana
Lineage: Eukaryota; Viridiplantae; Streptophyta; Magnoliopsida; Fagales; Betulaceae
Source: RefSeq, a predicted model, not a curated record
CUCUGCCUUCUUCGUUUCAGUGCGGUUAUAUAUAUGAAAACGUCGUACAAUACGUGUCGUUUCCAUCAAAAUGUCGUCGUUCCUUCGUCUUUUCGUCUGCACGGCUAUGGCCUAUGGGUGAAGUCAUUCACCUUGCCAGACGACAGCUCUUCGUUUCUCCGAUUCAUCAUUUCUCUCUCAAGCUUUCCCUCUCUCCACCCUAAUUUUGUGUUUUUGUUUUUAGAUCUGAUUCUGAAAUUUCGUUUGGUAGGUGUUAAUGGAUGCGAUUAUGAGUUUCUCGCUCUCAAACAAUUUCUCAGAAACCGAAUUGGAAUGAAACCUUGGAGACGGGAAGCCGCAUAGACGAGACCCGCUGCUAUUAUUUCCACGGAGUUUGGUAGAGGAGAGGCUGGAUUUAGAGAAGAUGAUGCUUGGGAAUAGGUUCACUAUUUGGGGUUAAAUUGCCAAAACAUUUAAUUGAUGCAACUGAGUGUAUUGUACAGCAGAGAAAUUAGAAUGCUAAAGAGGGAGAAGUGCUGUUGUUAAUUGCCAGAUGACAUAUUAGCUCUCUUUAAAUGCAUGUUAUCAAUUGCCCUGGCACUAUGUUUUUUCUCUGUAGCUGUUCUUAAUGUGGUUUCUGAGCUAUGCAUCCACAGAUAUGUUGAGGUUGUGAAUUUGUUGGCAUAGUCAAAUUGCAUAGAACUUAGCUCAUUCCCUGUAUUCUUGUCUUUGUUUAGAAAAAAGAAAUGGUAAAUGUUCUAUUGCUUUCAUUAUGAAGUUGUUCCAGAUAAAUUCUUCCAAUCCUGAAAUUUAUUGCAAUCGUAUUGGUUUUGAGGAAAUCAGAAGAAAAUAGUUGAAGUUGCCCUGAACAAAACAAAGACAAUUAUUUUUCAGACCUUUUUGCUCCAUGACUUAAUACAUAUGUAUUUUUGGAUUGUUGAGAAUUAGAAGGAAAAAGGGAAAAGAAAAAUAAAUGAAAAGAGUAUAGCAGCAGUAACAUUUGAGAGGAAAAAAAAGGUUAUAAAUAAUCCAUGUGUGAAUUGGGUGUCACUUUCUGUCUUUUGUGGUUUAUUAUUUACUCUAUGUUAGCCAUAAGUUUUUUCUGAUGAUUUGAAUGAAAAAUAAGAACAGGUUUCCUUGUUAUAUAUUUUGACAUCAAUAAUGCAAUGUAUUUUGUAACCGAGGCUUUGGGAAUUUCUCAGUUUAGAUAAAGGUGAGCAAGAGAUUUCAGUUUCAAGGCCGAAGUUUAAACCACUGCUUUCAUAUAUUAGAGAAGUAAAGAUUGGUGUAGGGAAAAGAUGGGAAGUUUAUGGAGGGAAUAGAAAAUUGAAAGUUUUUGUCUAUUAAAUUCAGUUCAUAGCUGAGGAAAGAAAGAACAAUGUGAAAUUUGACUCUCUCAAUUUGUCAGUAAAAAUGAAGAUAGCCAUGGUUUGAUCAGUAUUGGCUGAUGCUGACAUUUUGUAUAUGCCUGCAGCAACUUACAGGAGAAGACAAACUAUUGAGAAGAUUGGGUUUUAAUAUUGCCUUUUCUAUAUGGGUGCCGGAUUCUAGUCUAUUGGAGAUUUGUUCUUUCGGCUCUAAUUGGACGAUACGAUCGAGCUUUUUGUUUGGAUCUUUAUGGUUUAGAUGCUGAUCCACAGGCAUAUCUAUCAAUAAAGGCUUCUUUUGAAUA